UACGGAGGGGGUUAGCGUUGUUCGGAAUUACUGGGCGUAAAGCGCGCGUAGGCGGACCAGAAAGUUGGGGGUGAAAUCCCGGGGCUCAACCCCGGAACGGCCUCCAGAACUCCUGGUCUUGAGUUCGAGAGAGGUGAGUGGAAUUCCGAGUGUAGAGGUGAAAUUCGUAGAUAUUCGGAGGAACACCAGUGGCGAAGGCGGCUCACUGGCUCGAUACUGACGCUGAGGUGCGAAAGUGUGGGGAGCAAACAGG
This 253-nucleotide ribosomal RNA is filed under the name uncultured bacterium. RNAcentral's name for it is "partial 16S ribosomal RNA". It matches the Rfam family "Bacterial small subunit ribosomal RNA", at positions 524 to 776 of the family's 1533-position model. The record is from RNAcentral.